Molecule: long non-coding RNA, 283 nt
Filed under: Lathyrus oleraceus (garden pea)
Lineage: Eukaryota; Viridiplantae; Streptophyta; Magnoliopsida; Fabales; Fabaceae
Description: Pisum sativum (pea) long non-coding RNA (PSAT_LNC027878)
Source: RNAcentral
UUUCUCUUAUAGAAGAAAAAAAAUUGAUUGGGUAUCAAACUUCUCUUUCCCGACUAUUUGGACUCUGCAGUAGAGCUUCCUGUCUGAAUAAACGUCUUCCGCUAAUGAGGUUUGACCUAAUUCACCAGACAUUUUCAUAAACAAAACUUUUGGAUGAAAAGAGAGUGAUUGAGCUUAUGCUUCUUCCUUUUUCGGCAUUCGAGUACUAUAGUAGAGCUCCCUGUUUGGAUGCCUGUCUCCACUUAAAAUUAACUUAACUCAUCAAACUUGUUUUCCACCUUUG